Oncorhynchus gorbuscha (pink salmon) is the source of this 3713-nucleotide long non-coding RNA. RefSeq lists it as uncharacterized. The transcript has 7 exons. The record is from RefSeq and is a predicted model, not a curated record. NCBI's taxonomy places the organism in Eukaryota, Metazoa, Chordata, Actinopteri, Salmoniformes, Salmonidae.
UUGCGGCAGAAUUGAUAAGGAAAAGUCGCUGGAACUGACUUAAAAAACACUGGAACUGACUUAAUCGAAUCCACUCGACUAUUGCUGCGCGAGAUACGUAAUCAAUGUAUUUGGGAACCAGGCGUGGCAUUGCCAUGAAAGUGUUGUUCAAAAUGUUGGUACAUAAAAGAAAGAGUCGUCUUUUGUAACUCGUUGUAGAACUUAGGUCAUUUUACGAUUCUCUGAUGGAAAGAUGCAAUGAGGAUGAGAGGCCCGUAAACGUUAACUUCGGGAAAGCAGUGCUCGUACCGUAGUUCUUGCUGUAAAAUUGACUAAUGGACGUAUAAAGGGGAGGAAUUGCACAUGCAGGAACGCCCUGAAUUGCGCGCCGCAAUCACACCCUUCUAAACAAUUCCACGAGGAGCGUUUGAAAAAGAAACACUUUAAUUGAACAAUUGAACAGUUGCUAAUUCUACAGGAUUAGCAUUGAAAGCGUGACUAGCGGUGGGGAAAUCAGAGGGAAAUCAAAGGACACUGAUUCCCCCGUCCCAUUUCACAGCAAGCAUCCAGUCUGCCUCAAUCACAGUACCAGGGACUGCAAUGGGUGAGGGACCACACCAAUAACAUGGGUCACCCCUGCCACAACACCACCAAACCAGAGGAUUCUGAUCUGGAGAGAGAGCUGGAGAGGGAGUCUGGGGAGGUGGAGACGCUGAGGAGUGAAGUGCAGACAGGAGGCCCAGAGGCUGACCAGGGAAGCUGAGACGGCUAGGCUGCAGGCUUGGGAGGAAGUCAAGCAGGAAAUGCAGAAACUAAAGAAGCAACUGGAUGAAUCCAACAGGAAACAUGAAACGCAGUAUUCUAAUCUGAAUUCCUCUAUAGAAGCUGAAUAAGGAGAAGGAGGCUCUGCAGGUGACAACAGAGUUUGACGGUCAGACUCAACUCUGAAUGACAUAUUGGCCCUACAAGAGGAGAAGAGGGUUGAGAAGGCAUGUGAUCAAUUGUUAACGGUGCCAUAGCUGAUGUAAAAUCCCUUUUAUUUUUGUCAGAUAUUUUAUUAAUAUCCAUUCCCACAUGUGUAUAACUAUCUAAGAGCUCUGAGGGUUACGCAAAGGCUUAGUCAUGUCCACAGACUAGGUCAGACCCUCUUGAAGGCACUCUGGUUCUGCACCGCUGGAGAGAGAAGGUCUUCAUGUUGUUGGUCGAGCUUCGCUCAAAGGACAUUGAACUGAGGGGAGAAAAGGACAAUUGUACAAUCUCGUCUCUGGAGCAGGAGGUGAAGGAGAAGUACCAGUCUAGUGUGUUCCAGCACAGCCUGCAGGACAGAACAGCUGCGCUGGACCUGGAGAGUGUGGCUUGGGAGGCGUGAGAUGGGUCUGGUGAGUGAGUAUAAGGGCGCUCGGAACACAGCCCUGCAGACUUCUGUGGCCUUGGAGGAGCAGCAGCAGCAGAGACCCUCAGGGAAGAACAACACUCUGAAAGCCAAAGACAAGCUACAGACCGGAGACUCAGUGGUCCUCAGCUAAGAGGACGAUGUAGAGGAGGACGGGGUGGGGCAGUCCAGAGCCAAAAGAGAACUCCCAAAAGUGACCUUCUGCAAAAAGUACUGGGAACUUUUUUGCUUUCACUGCAAGUUUUGAACAAUCCAUUUCUCUUUUGAAAUUGAACUUUUCAAGUUUCAAAUCUUUGUUUAUUAUGACAUUCCAUUACAUACUUAUGUAACUCAGACUCUUUAUAAAAUAACACUGUUGACACAACAGCAAUGUUUUUUGUAGGAUUUCAUGAAUGUUCUUACUGUUAAUUAGCGCUGAAUAGUAAAGUAAUGUCCUCUAGCUUAUACCAGUGAGAGAUACCAUUCCUCACCUUUGGCUGGCAGGCUACGGCCAGGGGAGAAGCUGACGGACUGAUGAGUUCAUAUAAGGUAGGCGGGCAUGUGGCCUGUGCUCUCAGUCUAAUCGAUAAGUCAAUGCGUUUUCUCCCAGGGCCUCACAGCAAGGAGGAGCAUGACAGGAAAAUCAAAUGAAUGGAUAGCCUCGAUCAAAACCACAUGCUGCCUUCCACUGAAGAAGACUAAAUAACAGGCUGAGUUAUGACCCUAAGUGCUCUGAACUGUAGUACUGGAGAAAGGAGAUUGACCUCUGCUGAUGGUUUUGUAGUCUUGCUAUUGGUUGUGUUUAUAAAGACAUGAAUCAGCAUUUUCUUGGACAAAGCUGUGUAUUGUUUUGUGUGACGACAUAAUGUAAUAUUUUUAACUUUAAUUGUGUCUUUUGAAGUGCUGUUUUGAAAGCACUUAGAACUUAAGAAGCAUUUCAUGAAAAUGAGGUGUGUGUGCGCUCUAUUAGAAAUGGAGAGGUCAUGAUAACAAAGAACUCAUUCCAGAGAAUCAGGAGCAGAUUGUGAAAUGUUCAGAUGGCUCUUACUUAAAGUGACCUCAAAAUCCACAGCCAAUCAGCAGCUGCCAUCAGCUGGUCAUUACUGUAAAUGGAAGUCCGGUCUAACUGGAAGAGAUGUUCAAUUUAGUGUUAUGAAAGUAGCUAUGUCCCUUUCUAAGUUCAAUUCUAUAUCCAUUAUGAAGCUGCAGUAGCUGGCUAAAGUAAUGACCAACCAGAAAAACAACCUGAAAUGCAGAAGAUAAAAAUACACAGGUUUAUGUAGGCAUUCGUGAUUAUGAUGAGAAAUUGAAUUCAUUAAUUUUGUUUAACCCUAGUUCCUGCUUGUGUCCCUAGCCAUCAUCUUUUCUUGUUUUCCUUUUACAGAACACCAUUACAGUGUCAUGACAUUUAUUCAGCACUAAUUGGGGCUGAGGCUCGAUCAAGCAUAUCUGUCUGAGGCACAAUACAAACUCUGUCGUUGAAGUGAUAAGAUAACCAAGCUAUCUACAGUUUUUACCAUCAGUAAGUAGGUGACGUGCUAGAUGCAAGGUUAUUUUGGCCAGUGUAAAGGCAGUUUGAGUGUGUGCAGGAAAUGUAGGGUGAUUAAUUUUUUCCCCCAGAAGGCUGUUAAGUAGCAACAAGACUGAUUUAAUGUAUUUUCUGCCCAACAGUGUCCUCAUCAGACUCCAGCAGCUCUAAAGCAUUGUUUGGUUUGGUGCAGAGAGCCCUGACAUAACGUGUAUCCUAUGCAGUUAGGGGUUCCAUUUUUCAUUCCAGUGUCCUCCCUCUCUCAGGUUAUUGUUAUCACAAUGUAUGUUUAGCUACGGCUCACUGACACUGUAAUUACUUUCAUUUAUGUAUUGGUGUUGUCAUGUAUAUGUACACAGAUUGACAUGAAUAGUUUUCUCUGCAUGUUAGUACUAUAAUGAAGAACAUUUCUGUUAUAAUCAAUGUAGGACUGUCUAUUCUGAUCAGGCCUAUAUCUCUAGAGGACUACCAAUCCAUCUAAUUGAGUGGACAACUUUAGAUGAUGGCAAAUACUAUGUACGUACUAAUCUAUAGUAUAAUAACAAAUGUAAUCCCACUGGUGGCUUGCCUCUGAAGCUAAGCAGAGUUGGUCCUGGACGGUCCCUGGAUGGGAGACCAGUGGUGUUAGAGGGCCAGUAGGAGUCACUUUUUCCCCUGGUAUUUUUUCUUUAUCCCAAUGCCCCAGGGCAGUGAUUGGGAACAUUGCCCUGUAUAGGGUGUCGUCUUUCAGAUGGGAUGUUAAACGGGUGUGCUGACACUCCGUGUUCAAUAAAGAUCCCAUGGCACUUAUUGUUAGAGUAGAGGUGUUAACCUUGGUGUCCUGGCUAAAUUCCU